UCGCAAGAUUAAAACUCAANNNAAUUGACGGGGGCCCGCACAAGCAGCGGAGCAUGUGGUUUAAUUCGAAGCAACGCGAAGAACCUUACCUAGACUUGACAUCUCCUGCAUUACCCUUAACCGGGGAAGUCCUUUCGGGGACAGGAUGACAGGUGGUGCAUGGUUGUCGUCAGCUCGUGUCGUGAGAUGUUGGGUUAAGUCCCGCAACGAGCGCAACCCCUAUUGUUAGUUGCUACCAUUAAGUUGAGCACUCUAGCGAGACUGCCUAGGUUAACUAGGAGGAAGGCGGGGAUGACGUCAAAUCAUCAUGCCCCUUAUGUCUAGGGCUACACACGUGCUACAAUGGAUAGUACAAUAAGACGCAAUAUCGUGAGGUGGAGCAAAUCUUAUAAAACUAUUCUCAGUUCGGAUUGUAGGCUGAAACUCGCCUACAUGAAGUUGGAGUUGCUAGUAAUCGCGAAUCAGAAUGUCGCGGUGAAUACGUUCCCGGGCCUUGUACACACCGCCCGUCACACCAUGAGAGCUGGUAACACCCGAAGUCCGNNNNNNNNNCCGUAAGGGAGGGAGCGGCCGAAGGUGGGAUUAGUGAUUAAGUGAAGUCGUAACAAGGUAACC
Molecule: ribosomal RNA, 615 nt
Filed under: uncultured bacterium
Lineage: Bacteria
Description: bacterial SSU rRNA
Rfam family: Bacterial small subunit ribosomal RNA
Source: RNAcentral